This 56-nucleotide transfer RNA is filed under the name Halogranum tailed virus 1. RNAcentral's name for it is "Halovirus HGTV-1 tRNA". It matches the Rfam family "tRNA", at positions 8 to 63 of the family's 71-position model. Rfam says of the family: Transfer RNA (tRNA) molecules are approximately 80 nucleotides in length. Their secondary structure includes four short double-helical elements and three loops (D, anti-codon, and T loops). Lineage: Duplodnaviria; Heunggongvirae; Uroviricota; Caudoviricetes; Thumleimavirales; Halomagnusviridae. The record is from Rfam by way of RNAcentral.
UACUUCAAGGUACAACAUUAGACUGUAACUCUAAAGAAUGAAGGUUCGAGUCCUUC